CAAAGAGUAGCUUAAUACAAAGCAUUCAGCUUACAACUGAAAAACGUUAAUAUAACCUAACCUCUUUGC
RNAcentral lists this transfer RNA (69 nucleotides) under Platysaurus intermedius. Its description in RNAcentral is "tRNA-Val". It matches the Rfam family "tRNA". Rfam says of the family: Transfer RNA (tRNA) molecules are approximately 80 nucleotides in length. Their secondary structure includes four short double-helical elements and three loops (D, anti-codon, and T loops). The record is from RNAcentral. Lineage: Eukaryota; Metazoa; Chordata; Lepidosauria; Squamata; Cordylidae.